GAUGAACGCUGGCGGCGUGCCUAAUACAUGCAAGUCGAGCGAACGGACGAGAAGCUUGCUUCUCUGAUGUUAGCGGCGGACGGGUGAGUAACACGUGGAUAACCUACCUAUAAGACUGGGAUAACUUCGGGAAACCGGAGCUAAUACCGGAUAAUAUUUUGAACCGCAUGGUUCAAAAGUGAAAGACGGUCUUGCUGUCACUUAUAGAUGGAUCCGCGCUGCAUUAGCUAGUUGGUAAGGUAACGGCUUACCAAGGCAACGAUGCAUAGCCGACCUGGGAGGGUGGUCGGCCACAGUGGAUCUGAGGCACGGUCCCGACUCCUACGGGAGGCAGCAGUAGGGAGUCUUCAGCAGUGGGCGAAAGCCUGACGGAGCCGCGCCGCGUGAGUGAUGAAGGUCUUCGGGUCGUAAAACUCUGUUAUUAGGGAACAACAUAUGUGUAAGUAACUGUGCACAUCACGGCAGUACCUAAUCAGACAGCGGCGACUAACUUC
Molecule: ribosomal RNA, 494 nt
Filed under: uncultured bacterium
Lineage: Bacteria
Description: partial 16S ribosomal RNA
Rfam family: Bacterial small subunit ribosomal RNA
Source: RNAcentral